UAGGAAUUUUGCGCAAUGGGGGAAACCCUGACGCAGCAACGCCGCGUGGAGGAUGAAGGCCUUCGGGUUGUAAACUCCUUUUAGCAGGGAAGAAACAAAUGACGGUAUCUGCAGAAAAAGCACCGGCUAACUCUGUGCCAGCAGCCGCGGUAAUACAGAGGGUGCAAGCGUUAUUCGGAAUCACUGGGCGUAAAGCGCUCGUAGGCUGUUAAUUAAGUCAGAUGUGAAAUCCCCGGGCUCAAUCCGGGACGUGCAUCUGAUACUGGUUGACUAGAGUGCAGGAGAGGAAAGCGGAAUUCCAGGUGUAGAGGUGAAAUUCGUAGAUAUCUGGAGGAACAACAGAGGCGAAGGCGGCUUUCUGGACUGUCACUGACGCUGAGGAGCGAAAGCGUGGGGAGCAAAC
Molecule: ribosomal RNA, 403 nt
Filed under: uncultured bacterium
Lineage: Bacteria
Description: bacterial SSU rRNA
Rfam family: Bacterial small subunit ribosomal RNA
Source: RNAcentral